AUGCGUUGGUGGCUCUACUUCCCUCUCAGGGCGGUUGAAUGACGCACAUAAGUGAGAUCCAAAGUGCCAAUGACCCGCUCUGAAAAGCGGGUUUUUUUAU
Regulatory RNA element from Xenorhabdus innexi, 100 nucleotides. It matches the Rfam family "Tryptophan operon leader". From Rfam's summary of the family: At least 6 amino acid operons are known to be regulated by attenuation. In each a leader sequence of 150-200 bp is found upstream of the first gene in the operon. This leader sequence can assume two different secondary structures known as the terminator and the anti-terminator structure. The record is from Rfam. NCBI's taxonomy places the organism in Bacteria, Pseudomonadati, Pseudomonadota, Gammaproteobacteria, Enterobacterales, Morganellaceae.